This is a non-coding RNA of Pelobates cultripes (western spadefoot toad), 230 nucleotides long. NCBI's taxonomy places the organism in Eukaryota, Metazoa, Chordata, Amphibia, Anura, Pelobatidae. The record is from the annotation of a GenBank genome assembly.
GUGUCUGUGUAUAUGCGUGUUUGUCAGUGUGUAUCUCUGUGUAUCUGCAUGUGUGUCAGGGUAUGUAUCUAUAAGUGUCAGUGUAUGUAUCUAUAUGUGUGUCAGGGUAUGUAUCUGUGGUUCAAGGUAUGUAACAGUAUGUAUGUAUCUGCAUGUGUGUCAGUGUCUAUAUCUAUGUCCGCGUCUGUAUCUGCUGUUUGUGUGUCAAUGUAUCUGUAUGUCAGUGUGGG